CCGGGCCUUCCUGCCAGAGGAGGAUGUAUAAUCAGGGAGGAUUUGGACAGGGAACAUGAGGAAGGAACGCAGAGGAGAGGAGCACCCAAGCAAAGGCUGGGAGAAAAUACAAAGAAGACAGAAACAGACACUGACAGGCAAUGGGGACAUGUCUCUGUUCUUCUGGAACUCCGGGUCCAGGGAAGGACAAGGCAGUCCUCAGCUCACUGUGUGACCUUGGACACCCCCUCACCCCCGCCAUUCUGGACCUUAGUUUCAUCUGUAAGAAGAGCUGGUGACUGUAUACCCUGGCAAUCUCCCUUGUGGCGCUCCUGCCAAGUCUGAGUGGGCCCAGCUGUGCUCGCCCAAAGGGUAUAGACAAAAGAAACCUUGGUGCAGCCCACUAGGAGAUUCUCAUUCCCUGUUCGGGCAAGCAUUCAGGCAGAGGUGGGGAUGGCUUAAAGCUGCGGUCCCCAACCUAUUUGGCACCAGGGACUGGU
Molecule: long non-coding RNA, 479 nt
Organism: Bos taurus (domestic cattle)
Lineage: Eukaryota; Metazoa; Chordata; Mammalia; Artiodactyla; Bovidae
Source: Ensembl